Lemur catta (Ring-tailed lemur) is the source of this 1128-nucleotide long non-coding RNA. RefSeq lists it as uncharacterized. The record is from RefSeq and is a predicted model, not a curated record. The transcript has 4 exons. NCBI's taxonomy places the organism in Eukaryota, Metazoa, Chordata, Mammalia, Primates, Lemuridae.
CCGGCGCGUUCCCAGCCCCGCAGCGCUUAUGAAAGAGCGGCCCGAAACAGCCCAUUAAAUGCUUCAGCACAGAUUAGGGAACUGGCUCCAAGGGAUCGCAUUUUUAAGAAUGCUUGCUGUGUGUGUGCGGGAGAAGUCUUGGGUGGCUCUCAGGGGACCUGGAAAUUUCACUCUGUGACCUGACAACCAACAGGAUAAAUGGAUCCUCCCCAGAAGGACCCAUGGAAGAAAUUUCCCCUCAGGUAUCAAUAUCUGAAAAAUAUGGCCCACCUCUGAAGAGCUCGUUAGGUUUUAUUGUAUGGACAUUACGAAUCCUGCAAAACUAAGCAGUCUCAGCUCUAGGGAGCUGUGCAUUUGUUAUGCUCUUCUAGCAAGUACUUAGGAUCCUUCCUUACACAUUUCUCUGCUAAUCCCCCCAUUAACUUUAUUUCCAGUAUGCUCUUUCUAUUUAAAAUGACGUUAGAAAGGAGUUCUUGAUAACGUUCAAAAAGAAAAAAAAAGCAGAACACAAUAAUGUAAACUACAAAAAAUAGCAUUAAGAAAAGGAAUAGAAAUGUAUGUGAGUGCUGGAGUUGGGGGGAUUAUGGAUAGUAUUUUCCAAGCUGGCUUUUGUGAAAUUUUUUUUUAACAUGAACGUGCAUUACUUUUAUAAAGCUAUUGAGAAAACCAUUAGCUUUGGGAACCGAAAAGGAAGUGCGAGUGAACUCACUCCGUGCCCGGGCAGCCGGCACCAUUUACCUGUAACGGCGUAAGCACUUGUACAAUUUAAUAAUUUGCUGAUUACUGCCAUGCAUUAGACUUUAACUAUUUUGUCUACAAAGCAUGAGCACCCCUUACGUAGUUAAUGUAGCCACAUUAAACAUUUAUGUGACGGCUAUAUUCCCAGGGCUGGUUCGUUUCCAUUUUUUCAUAUCGUGAGCUGAUGCAGCUGCUCCGCACUUCCCGGGAGAGGCUCUUGCACACCUGAGGCAGGAAGCCUCUUCUGCAGGGAUGCCAGAACUGGAGAGGGCGGCAAGGCACAAAGGGUUUCCGGAAAAAGUGCAUGGCAUCCAGUUAAAUACACGACAUAAAAUACAUGGCAUCUGGUUACAUUUGAAUUUCAGGUGGACAAUAAAUAAUUUUUUCGUA